UGGGGAAUAUUGCACAAUGGGCGCAACCCUGAUCCAGCCAUGCCGCGUGAGUGAUGAAGGCCUUCGGGUUGUAAAGCUCUUUUGGCGGGGACGAUGAUGACGGUACCCGCAGAAUAAGCCCCGGCUAACUUCGUGCCAGCAGCCGCGGUAAGACGAAGGGGGCUAGCGUUGUUCGGAAUUACUGGGCGUAAAGCGAGUGUAAGCGGUUGCCGUAGUCAGGUGUGAAAGCCUUGAGCUCAACUCAAGAAAUGCACUUGAUACUGGGUGACUAGAGGACCGGAGAGGAUAGUGGAAUUCCCAGUGUAGUGGUGAAAUACGUAGAGAUUGGGAAGAACACCAGUGGCGAAGGCGGCUAUCUGGACGGUUACUGACGCUAAGACUCGAAAGCGUGGGGAGCAAACAGGAUUAGAUACCCUGGUAGUCCACGCCGUAAACGAUGGGUGCUAGACGUUGGCGAGCUUGCUCGUCAGUGUCGCAGCUAACGCGUUAAGCA
Molecule: ribosomal RNA, 493 nt
Filed under: uncultured bacterium
Lineage: Bacteria
Description: partial 16S ribosomal RNA
Rfam family: Bacterial small subunit ribosomal RNA
Source: RNAcentral